AUCAGGUGAGCUGAAGUCAACUAAGGUGUAUGAGAAAUGGGCUAAAAAGAUCUUAGGGAUGGAGCCACCAACAAAUCCGCUAGAGAGGAGAGCGAAGAAGAGGAAGAACAGUGAGGAGAAUGAUCUGAUACUGGCUAUCUCACAGCGCAGGGCUGAGCGGAAAAAACAGUUCAACUCCAUCCUCUCGAACAUCAUGUCCAAGUGUGACUCCAAGGCGAGCAGCUCGGAGCCCACGGAAGAAGAGUUUGAGCAGGCGCAACAGAGGCUGGAGAGCAGAAGGGCCAAGAGGCGCAAGUGAUGCUGCUGCCAGCCUUCUUGCCCUAUGCUGAAUAUUGUCUGAAGCUUUUGGUGUGACCUGAAUUUACCA
Molecule: RNA transcript, 367 nt
Organism: Zea mays
Lineage: Eukaryota; Viridiplantae; Streptophyta; Magnoliopsida; Poales; Poaceae
Gene name: DNA J superfamily protein pseudogene
Exons: 2
Source: RefSeq, marked validated